RNAcentral lists this non-coding RNA (28 nucleotides) under Mus musculus (house mouse). Lineage: Eukaryota; Metazoa; Chordata; Mammalia; Rodentia; Muridae. RNAcentral also lists the same sequence under 20 other names. The record is from RNAcentral.
GCCGGGAUAGCUCAGUUGGUAGAGCAGA